ACCCGGUGUAUAAGGGAUCUAAAGCUAUGGGCCUAUUCCCGUGAUGAAUGAACUGGUGAGUUAUUACUCCUCUGGUCUAUUGUGGAUUGUCAUAAAAGGCUGCUGACGUCGUCUUUUUCUGCUGCAGCCAAUAAUCACGCAGUUAAAGGCCUUAUGUACACAAAAGAGUUUGUGCAUGUAAUUUGGUAGAAAGUACUAGUGGGAAGUGGUGGUGAGAAGAACAGAUAGCUUGUGGUACUGAUUGGAAGAGGUUGUCACGUUAGGUCUGGAGGGAAAGAAAACUUACGGGUGCUUACUUUUCCUAUCUAGCAGUCUAGAGCUGUCCUGGGACCUCCACCUGAUUAUGUUGAGAUCGACCUGGUAUAAAUAGUUGGCGACGCUUCCAGUCAUCUUGAAAUCAUCAUCUGCCGAUGAUGAUGUCAAAUUUAAAUCGGCAUAAACAAAUGACGAUGUUUCCAGUCGCAUUGGAAUCUCUAUCUGAUGAUGAUGUCCAGUUUGACCUGGUAUAAAUAAUUGAUGAUUACUUCAUUUGUCUUGGAAUCUUGACCUGACGAUGAUGAUGUCCAGUUUGAUCUGAAAUAAAUAACUGGCGAUUUCAUAUUGGUGAAAAACUUUUAGGAAAUGUUGACAAGCAUGUCUGAGCCCUUUGUUCUUCUCUGGCCAUUCCUUUCGUCGAGGUAGAGCAGCCUUCGCAAGUGAGCUAGGAAUUAACGCAGAAUUAAAAAACACUUGUGAAGACUAGAGCAACGACUGUAUACGACGCUACAUGGAGUUCCUGUUAACCGCUUGAAAGAAGAAUUUACUAAAUGUUUGAUUAUUCUUAGAAAUGUUAUUAUAAGGCUAGUCACUUGAAAGAAGAAUCCAUUAAAUGUUUGAUCACUGUCUUUAAAAAGACUGUUAUAAGACUAGCUGCUUGAAAGAACAUUAUUGUAAACUAUGUUUUUUCACAUUUAGAUAUUUGUAUUGUUGUUUUAAAAGAGAUAAUUGUGGUAUCCGACUUAGUAGUGCCCCCCCCCAGUGCCUUUGUUAUUAUUAUUAUUAUUAUUGUGAAGUAGCUCAGCGGUAAAGUAAAUAU
Limulus polyphemus (Atlantic horseshoe crab) is the source of this 1075-nucleotide long non-coding RNA. RefSeq lists it as uncharacterized. The transcript has 3 exons. The record is from RefSeq and is a predicted model, not a curated record. Lineage: Eukaryota; Metazoa; Arthropoda; Merostomata; Xiphosura; Limulidae.